RNAcentral lists this ribosomal RNA (1463 nucleotides) under uncultured bacterium. RNAcentral's name for it is "bacterial SSU rRNA". It matches the Rfam family "Bacterial small subunit ribosomal RNA". The record is from RNAcentral.
AAUGAACGCUGGCGGCGUGCUUAAGACAUGCAAGUCGAGCGAGAAAGUCCUUCGGGAUGAGUACAGCGGCGGACGAGUGAGUAACACGUGGGAAUUUACCCUUCAGUGAAGAAUACCAUCGAGAAAUCGGUGUUAAUACUGCAUACGUUCCUUCGGGAAGAAAGGUGGCCUCUAGCUGCCGCUGAUGGAUAAGCCUGCGGACUAUUAGCUUGUUGGUGAGGUAAAGGCUCACCAAGGCGAUGAUGGUUAACCGGCCUGAGAGGGUGUACGGUCACGUUGGAACUGAGACACGGUCCAAACUCCUACGGGAGGCAGCAGUCAGGAAUAUUGCACAAUGGGGGAAACCCUGAUGCAGCGACGCCGCGUGAAGGAUGACGGUCUUCGGAUUGUAAACUUCUGUUAAGUGGGAAGAAAGAAUUACUUUUAAUAGAAGUAAGUGAUGACAGUACCACUCGAGAAAGCACCGGCUAACUUUGUGCCAGCAGCCGCGGUAAUACAAGGGGUGCUAGCGUUAUUCGGAUUCAUUGGGCGUAAAGGGUACGUAGACGGCGUAUUAAGUUAGUUGUUAAAUUUCUCGGCCUAACCGAGAGCGAGCAAUUAAUACUGGUAUGCUAGAGGGUGAGAGAGAGGAGUGGAAUUCUCGGAGUAGCGGUAAAAUGCGUAGAUAUCGAGAGGAACACCGAUGGCGAAGGCAGCUCCUUGGCUCAUUCCUGACGUUGAGGUACGAAAGCGUGGGUAGCAAACAGGAUUAGAUACCCUGGUAGUCCACGCCGUAAACGAUGAUCACUAGACGUCUGUCUUGCUUAGCAGGAUAGGUGUCGCAGCUAACGCGUUAAGUGAUCCCGCCUGGGGACUACGGUCGCAAGACUAAAACUCAAAGAAAUUGACGGGGAUCCGCACAAGCGGUGGACCAUGUGGUUUUAAUCGACACUACGCGAGAAACCUUACCUAAGCUUGACAUGCUUUUGAUCGCUGCAGAAACGUAGCUUUCCAGACUUCGGUUUGGACAAUUGCACAGGUGCUGCAUGGCUGUCGUCAGCUCGUGUCGUGAGAUGUUUGGUUAAGUCCUCUAACGAGCGCAACCCCUGCUAUCAGUUGCUACUUGCUUGCAAGGCACUCUGGUAGGACUGCCUGGGAAACCAGGAGGAAGGUGGGGAUGACGUCAAGUCAUCAUGGUCCUUAUGCCUAGGGCUACACACGUGUUACAAUGGCUAAUACAGAGGGCUGCAAACUUGUAAAAGUAAGCUAAUCCCAGAAAGUUAGUCUAAGUUCGGAUUGAGGUCUGCAAUUCGACCUCAUGAAGUUGAAAUCGCUAGUAAUCGCGCAUCAGAACGGCGCGGUGAAUACGUUCUCGGAUCUUGUACACACCGCCCGUCACACCACGAAAGCUGUCUGUACCCAAAGUUACUUUAGCCAACCUGCAAAGGGGGCGAGUACCUAAGGUAUGGGGGGUGAUUGGGGUG